This 340-nucleotide long non-coding RNA is filed under the name Fukomys damarensis (Damara mole-rat). RNAcentral's name for it is "lncRNA (ENSFDAG00000022244.1)". Lineage: Eukaryota; Metazoa; Chordata; Mammalia; Rodentia; Bathyergidae. The record is from RNAcentral.
CAAGUCUUCAACAUUUCCCUGUUAUGCAAUUGUAGAAGCCUCAUUAGAGCUUGCUGUUAUUACAAAAACUCUUAUUUUAUAUAAAGACAGCCUCUUUUCUCAGCAUUGGAUGAACUAUUUCCAUGCAAUUCCAGACAUGACCAUGCAGGAACAGAAAGAGACAAAAAUCCUAAUACCCAUCGGAGACCGGCCUCCCAGGACCUGGCGGGAUCUGGAGACAUCCUGUAGUUGUCCACAGAAAACAUUAGUAUGAAAUUUGAUGAACUCCAUCAGUUGAAGGCCAAUAAUUGGAAACAGCUGGAUCCUCUUGACAAGAAGGCAGAACAGUGUAGAUUUUGUA